This 1001-nucleotide ribosomal RNA is filed under the name uncultured bacterium. Its description in RNAcentral is "bacterial SSU rRNA". It matches the Rfam family "Bacterial small subunit ribosomal RNA", at positions 339 to 1352 of the family's 1533-position model. The record is from RNAcentral.
CUACGGAGCAGCAGUGGGGAUAUGCACAAUGGGGAAACCCUGAUGCAGGGACGCAAGCGUGCGGGAUGACGGCCUUCGGGUUGUAACCCGCUUCAGCAGGGAAGAAGCCCUUCGGGGUGACGUACUGCAGAAGAAGUACCGGCUAACUACGUGCCAGCAGCCGCGGUAAUACGUAGGGUACAAGCGUUGUCCGGAAUUAUUGGGCGUAAAGAGCUCGUAGGUGGUUGGUCACGUCUGCUGUGGAAACGCAACGCUUAACGUUGCGCGUGCAGUGGGUACGGGCUGACUAGAGUGCAGUAGGGGAGUCUGGAAUUCCUGGUGUAGCGGUGAAAUGCGCAGAUAUCAGGAGGAACACCGGUGGCGAAGGCGGGACUCUGGGCUGUAACUGACACUGAGGAGCGAAAGCAUGGGGAGCGAACAGGAUUAGAUACCCUGGUAGUCCAUGCCGUAAACGUUGGGCACUAGGUGUGAGGGACAUUCCACGUUCUCCGCGCCGUAGCUAACGCAUUAAGUGCCCCGCCUGGGGAGUACGGUCGCAAGGCUAAAACUCAAAGGAAUUGACGGGGGCCCGCACAAGCGGCGGAGCAUGCGGAUUAAUUCGAUGCAACGCGAAGAACCUUACCAAGGCUUGACAUACACCAGACCGUUCUGGAAACAGUUCCUCCCCUUUGGGGUUGGUGUACAGGUGGUGCAUGGUUGUCGUCAGCUCGUGUCGUGAGAUGUUGGGUUAAGUCCCGCAACGAGCGCAACCCUCGUUCUAUGUUGCCAGCACGUGAUGGUGGGAACUCAUGGGAGACUGCCGGGGUCAACUCGGAGGAAGGUGGGGAUGACGUCAAAUCAUCAUGCCCUUUAUGUCUUGGGCUUCACGCAUGCUACAAUGGCUGGUACAGAGAGAUGCGAGACCGCGAGGUUUUAGCGAAUCCCUUAAAGCCAGUCUCAGUUCGGAUCGUAGUCUGCAAUUCGACUACGUGAAGUCGGAGUCGCUAGUAAUCGCAGAUCAG